UACAGAGGGUGCAAGCGUUGUUCGGAAUUAUUGGGCGUAAAGGGCGCGUAGGCGGUGCGGUAAGUCUGUAGUGAAAUCUCUGGGCUCAACUCAGAGUCUGCUGCAGAAACUGCCGUGCUUGAGUAUGGGAGAGGUGAGUGGAAUUUCCGGUGUAGCGGUGAAAUGCGUAGAUAUCGGAAGGAACACCUGUGGCGAAAGCGGCUCACUGGACCAUUACUGACGCUGAGGCACGAAAGCUAGGGGAGCAAACAGG
This 253-nucleotide ribosomal RNA is filed under the name uncultured bacterium. RNAcentral describes it as "partial 16S ribosomal RNA". It matches the Rfam family "Bacterial small subunit ribosomal RNA", at positions 524 to 776 of the family's 1533-position model. The record is from RNAcentral.